This is a long non-coding RNA of Phacochoerus africanus (Common warthog), 823 nucleotides long. RefSeq lists it as uncharacterized. Lineage: Eukaryota; Metazoa; Chordata; Mammalia; Artiodactyla; Suidae. The transcript is spliced from 5 exons. The record is from RefSeq and is a predicted model, not a curated record.
AGGGGCGAUGAGGCGAUCAAUCUUAGCCCCCUGACAGCUCGCUCUGAUGGCAUCAAAGAAUUUGGCUCUUUGGGAAAGCCGAGGGAACAGCCGAAAUUCCACAUCCCUUGAAAAGGCCUGGGGGGUGGGGGGUGUGAAGCAAAAGAGAAAGGUGAUGCUGGGCGCGCUGGGAAACAGAUGGGAAAUGGGGACCGCGGAAGGGCGCUGGGCUGGGUGGAAAGUUUGCCGGGAGAACUCCCACGGCUCGGGCCUCCCCUCCCCCUCCCUGCUCGCUGCCGCCCGGCCGGCCGAGGAGGAGGCCAAGCCUGGUUAGCAGAGAAAUGGCAACUCCGGCCCGGGCAGCGGGAGCUAGAAACUUUCUGUCACUGUAAGAGCCGAGUGGGUGGUGACCCAAUGGUGGUUGGGCUUCGGGUCACGUGACAGCUUCUUUGUAGCUCCGGAAGAGAACUGUGAAGUUUAGGUUUUCGAGGAAGAAGCAGUGACCGGCCACAUUUUGUUGUUGUUGACGGGAUGGGGAGUAGGGGGUGGACUAAGAAGGUUGUGGCCAAAACAGCAAAAAGGCAAAAGGAGAAUUGCCAGAAGAAAAAAAAAAUCAAGAUUUGGGGAAUUACCAAUGACAGAGACCAAAGGUGUGUUAGCUUGGGCGCUUCUUGGAUUCUACCCUGAGGAGGAGGCGCAUGAUGAGAGGAGAGAUCUUGAUCUGCCGCUCGCUGAGGUUCAGCAGGUUGGCCAUCUCCACGCGGCGCGGGCGGCACAGGUAGCGGUUGAAGUGGAACUCCUUCUCCAGCUCCACCAGCUGCGCGCUCGUGUACGCCGUCCGUGC